GACGAACGCUGGCGGCGUGCUUAACACAUGCAAGUCGAACGGAAAGGCCCCUUUGGGGGUCCUCGAGUGGCGAACGGGUGCGUAACACGUGAGUAACCUGCCCUUGACUUCGGGAUAACUUCAGGAAACUGGGGCUAAUACCGGAUAGGAAUCCUUGCUGCAUGGUGGGGGUUGGAAAGCUUCGGCGGUUUUGGAUGGACUCGCGGCUUAUCAGCUUGUUGGUGGGGUAGUGGCUUACCAAGGCUUUGACGGGUAGCCGGCCUGAGAGGGCGACCGGCCACAGUGGGACUGAGAGACGGCCCAGACGCCUACGGGAGGCAGCAGGGGGGAAUAUUGCACAAGGGGCGGAAGCCGGAUGCAGAAACGCCGCGGGCGGGAUGACGGCCUUCGGGUUGUAAACCGCUUUCAGCAGGGGCGAAGCUUGUGGUGACGGUACCUGCAGAAGAAGCACCGGCUAACUACGUG
This 465-nucleotide ribosomal RNA is filed under the name uncultured bacterium. RNAcentral describes it as "partial 16S ribosomal RNA". It matches the Rfam family "Bacterial small subunit ribosomal RNA", at positions 28 to 507 of the family's 1533-position model. The record is from RNAcentral.